AUACCAGCUGGCUGCAACUGUUUAUUAAAAACACAGCACUGUGCAAACACGAAAGUGGACGUAUACGGUGUGACGCCUGCCCGGUGCCGGAAGGUUAAUUGAUGGGGUCAGCGCAAGCGAAGCUCCUGAUCGAAGCCCCGGUAAACGGCGGCCGUAACUAUAACGGUCCUAAGGUAGCGAAAUUCCUUGUCGGGUAAGUUCCGACCUGCACGAAUGGCGUAAUGAUGGCCAGGCUGUCUCCACCCGGGACUCAGUGAAAUUGAACUCGCUGUGAAGAUGCAGUGUACCCGCGGCAAGACGGAAAGACCCCGUGAACCUUUACUAUAGCUUGACACUGAACACUGGUCCUUGAUGUGCAGGAUAGGUGGGAGGCUUUGAAGUGUGGACGCCAGUCUGCAUGGAGCCAUCCUUGAAAUACCACCCUUUAAUGGCUGGUGUUCUAACGUGGACCCGUAAUCCGGGUUGCGGACAGUGUCUGGUGGGUAGUUUGACUGGGGCGGUCUCCUCCUAAAGAGUAACGGAGGAGCACGAAGGUUGGCUAAUCCUGGUCGGACAUCAGGAGGUUAGUGCAAUGGCAUAAGCCAGCUUGACUGCGAGCGUGACGGCGCGAGCAGGUGCGAAAGCAGGUCAUAGUGAUCCGGUGGUUCUGAAUGGAAGGGCCAUCGCUCAACGGAUAAAAGGUACUCCGGGGAUAACAGGCUGAUACCGCCCAAGAGUUCAUAUCGACGGCGGUGUUUGGCACCUCGAUGUCGGCUCAUCACAUCCUGGGGCUGAAGUAGGUCCCAAGGGUAUGGCUGUUCGCCAUUUAAAGUGGUACGCGAGCUGGGUUUAGAACGUCGUGAGACAGUUCGGUCCCUAUCUGCCGUGGGCGCUGGAAGAUUGAGGGGGGCUGCUCCUAGUACGAGAGGACCGGAGUGGACGCAUCACUGGUGUUCGGGUUGUCAUGCCAAUGGCACUGCCCGGUAGCUACAUGCGGAAGAGAUAAGUGCUGAAAGCAUCUAAGCACGAAACUUGCCCCGAGAUGAAUCUUCCCUGAGCCUUUAAGGCUCCUGAAGGAACGUUGAAGACGACGACGUUGAUAGGCCGGGUGUGUAAGCGCAGCGAUGCGUUGAGCUAACCGGUACUAAUGAACCGUGAGGCUUAACCUUACAAC
Molecule: ribosomal RNA, 1153 nt
Filed under: Salmonella enterica
Lineage: Bacteria; Pseudomonadati; Pseudomonadota; Gammaproteobacteria; Enterobacterales; Enterobacteriaceae
Description: partial 23S ribosomal RNA
Rfam family: Bacterial large subunit ribosomal RNA
Source: RNAcentral